This 253-nucleotide ribosomal RNA is filed under the name uncultured bacterium. RNAcentral's name for it is "partial 16S ribosomal RNA". It matches the Rfam family "Bacterial small subunit ribosomal RNA", at positions 524 to 776 of the family's 1533-position model. The record is from RNAcentral.
UACGGGGGGGGCAAGCGUUGUUCGGAAUUACUGGGCGUAAAGGGCUCGUAGGUGGCCAAUUAAGUCAGACGUGAAAUCCCCGAGCUUAACUUGGGAACUGCGUCUGAUACUGAGUGGCUUGAAUUCGGGAGAGGGAUGCAGAAUUCCAGGUGUAGCGGUGAAAUGCGUAGAUAUCUGGAGGAAUACCGGUGGCGAAGGCGGCAUCCUGGACCGAGAUUGACACUGAGGAGCGAAAGCCAGGGGAGCAAACGGG